AAUACUGAAUUUAUUUAAGCUGAACAUUGACACCAUUUUCUUUAAGAGCUGCUGUACAGCCAAAAUUAUUUACCAGUUAUCACUGUAAAGCUGCUUUGACACAAUCUGCAUUGUAAAAAGCGCUAUAUAAAUAAAGGUGACUUGACUGUUACAAGUCACAUCUCCCCUGGACUCCAUCUCCCAUCAUCCUCUCUGAUUCUCACCUGCACUCACUUCCUCGUUACCCUCCUGCUGAUCAUGAACUCCCUGCACCUGGACUUCAUUAUCUGCACACCCUUUAUAAUGGACUCACUCCCCAGCACUCAUUGGCUGCAUCCGAAACCGCAUACUUCUCUACUAUAUAGUAGGGGAAAACCAGUAGGCGAGCGAAAAAGUAUGUCCGAAUCCAAAGUAUUCAUAAAAGAGUAGGCGAGAAUUACCUGGGUGAUGUCUAAUUCUCGCGAGAUUCGGACGUGCGUCUACUUGAAGUGUGUCCGAAUAUGCCUACUUAUCUACUAUAUAGUAGGGGAAAAACAGUACGUGAAAGGAGCAGUAUGUCCGAAAUCCUCAGUAAUCAUAAAUGAGUAGUCGAGAAGUUCCCGGAUGGCCUACUGCUCCCGCCCAGAUUCUGAAGUGUUCAUCCGAUGGACACUCUUCUAUCCCAGGAGGCCACGGGAGAGGAUACGUCACACUCGAACACGGAGGAGAAAAGCGGCGCGGAUGUUUUCAAAUGGACAGAUGAGCACACGUGUGUUUAUCCAGUGGAGAGAGGCUGAUGAAGGAAUGAUGGCGUCAAUGGCUUUGAAGCUUUUGUGGUGGAGCAGGACCUGCAAGGCAAGAUGAUGGCGGCAUUUGUGGGGGAAAGAAACCUGAAUAAUGACUGAAUUUAUAUGUUUGGGUGAACUAACCCUUUAAGCCCCCAAAUAGAAACUGUAUGUAUGCAUUUA
Long non-coding RNA from Megalobrama amblycephala (Wuchang bream), 926 nucleotides. RefSeq lists it as uncharacterized. The record is from RefSeq and is a predicted model, not a curated record. The transcript is spliced from 3 exons. NCBI's taxonomy places the organism in Eukaryota, Metazoa, Chordata, Actinopteri, Cypriniformes, Xenocyprididae.